This 2110-nucleotide long non-coding RNA is filed under the name Brassica napus (rape). RNAcentral describes it as "long non-coding RNA (BNAP_LNC023860)". Lineage: Eukaryota; Viridiplantae; Streptophyta; Magnoliopsida; Brassicales; Brassicaceae. The record is from RNAcentral.
AGGACCAGUGAGCAUCCCCUUCAUAGGACGUUCGGUCAUCUUCUGUGCCAUUGACGACCAGAAGACAGUCAUUGCCUUUGGUCGGCUGACAUCACCGUAGAUGAUAGGUGGCUUGACACAGCGGGAUCCAUAUGACUGGACCCAGCAAAGCUCAUAAUGCAUUGUCUUAUGUGAUUAGGUUUCAAGAAAGAACAAGUUAAGGUGGCGGUAACCACAACAAGGAAGCUAAGACUAACAGGAGAACGUCCAACUGGUGGAAACAAAUGGAUUCGUUUCCGCCACGAAAUUACAGUUCCUAUGACCGUUGAUAUUGACUCUGUUUCAGCUAUGUUCAAGGAUAACAAACUCUACAUCCGACAUUCCAAAGUCAAGACAGAGAGCCCUCAUACUAAGCCACCGUCACAGGUGGUCAAGAAACCACAUGAUCAACAAGAGACAAAACAAGGACAGGGUGCUAAAGCAGCAACGGUCGAGAAGCCGGAUGGUGCCAAGACAGGAAUCCCUCAAUCACCUGUCAAACCACCGGUGAUGACGCAACCACGUGAUCAACAUGAGGCCAAACAAGGCCUGGGAUUUAAACCCGAAGAGCUGAAGCAUGAUGCACAGCAAAAAGCAGGGGGAGUACAGAAUGACAACAAGGAACUAAUUGGUGAGCCUAAAGGACAUUUGAGUUCCAAAGAUGAGGAGAAGGACAAAGUUGGAGCGAAGUUGUUCGAGAAGUACAAAGAGGCAACUGGAAAUGUGGUACAGAAAGCUAAAAGCCAAAGGCAGCUACUCUGCAAUAUGGCUGCUUCGAUUACAUUGGUUCUGCUAAUCCUACUCUAUGCUAGAAAUGCAGUACGUUCAUCCCUUGUGUGGAACUCAGAGGAAUGAGUGACCCUUCACACAAUGUAUAUGUUUGCUCAGGCAGAAAAUAAAUAAUAUUUGAUAAUUCCCCUCUACAUGUCUGUCUACAAAUGUGUAACUAGAAAAUGAGAAAAAAAAAAAACUCCAUUUUAUAGAUUUCAAAUCAGUUUUAGCGUAAUUCCAGUGCCAGAACAAUCAUUACAGGUUCAUUCCAAGCAAUGAUAAUACGUAGAGGGAUUUAGAGAGAGAAGAAAGUGGUAGUAUGAACAAACUUACUGGAUGAGAAAGACUUUAUGACUUAUUUAGCUGAGAGCGGAUUAGCUUGGUAGCAGCAACCAUGUUGCUCAGUGCAGACUUAACUUCAGAGUACUUCCGCGUCUUUAGGCCACAGUCAGGGUUCACCCAAAGGACUUUGCUGUCCAGAACUGCAAGCAUCUUAUUGAUACGCUCAGCUAUUUCUUCAGAUGAUGGGAUACGAGGAGAGUGAAUGUCAUACACCCCUGGACCGAUUCCAGCACCGUAUUUCACUCCUUCAUGGAAGACUGAUAAGAGCUUCUCAUCUGACCGUGAGUUUUCAAUAGUGAUCACAUCAGCAUCCAUGUUUAUGAUUGAGUUGAUAAUGUCGUUGAAAUUUGAGUAGCACAUGUGGGUGUGAAUCUGCAUGAAAGUACAAGGAAAGCAUGAAUAAAUUACAUCUGUUUCAUAAUGGAGCAAUAAUGUGAGAUAAAGAUGACCUGAGUAGUGUCUCGCACAUCACAGUUUGUGAUUCUGAAUGCGUGGACGGCCCAGUCAAGGUAAAGUUCUUGCUCGGACCUCCUGAGAGGCAAUCCUUCUCUUAAUGCAGCUUCAUCAAUCUGGAUAACAGUGAUGCCAGCCUUCUCAAGGUCCUUAACCUCAUCUUUAAUCGCGAGUGCAAUUUGGAAACACGUCUCAUACCUAUAAACAGCAACAGUGAGAUGGAACACCACAUAGAGUGAAAAGAGAAUUUGAUAGGCUUGGGUUGUCACACACCUGGGCUGGUCAUUUCUAACAAAGGACCAAUUGAGAAUUGUCACAGGACCAGUGAGCAUCCCCUUCAUAGGACGUUCGGUCAUCUUCUGUGCCAUUGACGACCAGAAGACAGUCAUUGCCUUUGGUCGGCUGACAUCACCGUAGAUGAUAGGUGGCUUGACACAGCGGGAUCCAUAUGACUGGACCCACCCAUUCGAUGUGAAUGCAAAGCCAGACAGCUGCUCGCCAAAAAACUCCACCAUAUCGUUUCUCU